GCACCAUUGAAGUUUACAUUGAAACUCCCUUUAUUCGGAGACAUCUAAGAAGUUGGAAAUCGAAUAAAAGAGAGAUUUGGGUUAGUACAUCGAAGAAAGCUGCCAAAUAGACAAGGAAACCAUGCAUAAUUCUCCCAAUGCCUCAACCUCAAUCCCAAGUCUUAAGACAUCGAGUAGCACUACCCAUCAAAACCACAUCCAUUAGACAAAGAUAAAACUAUACAAGAGAGUAGAAACCAACGGCCUACUGUUCAUGUUCUAUGGAUUCCUCAUGUUCUACUCUUACCAUAAGAGUAUUUCUACCGAUUUUCCUUUUCAUUCAGGCAUUAACCCAACUUGAUGUAGCGAAUAUAUUUGGGGAGAGA
This 365-nucleotide unclassified non-coding RNA is filed under the name Hevea brasiliensis (rubber tree). The record is from RNAcentral. Lineage: Eukaryota; Viridiplantae; Streptophyta; Magnoliopsida; Malpighiales; Euphorbiaceae.